Molecule: long non-coding RNA, 629 nt
Organism: Oncorhynchus tshawytscha (Chinook salmon)
Lineage: Eukaryota; Metazoa; Chordata; Actinopteri; Salmoniformes; Salmonidae
Exons: 4
Source: RefSeq, a predicted model, not a curated record
ACAGUGUAGCUAAAGUGUGACAGGUCUGUAUUGUUGUUCUAUUGAUUGUUGGUGCUCUGUCUUGACCCUCAAUAGGGAACAUCUACUGGACUGACCAGGGCUUCGAUGUGAUUGAGGUGGCCAGACUGAAUGGCUCCUUCCGCUACGUAGUCAUCUCCCAGGGCCUGGACAAGCCCCGUGCCAUCACUGUCCACCCAGAGAAAGGGUAUUUGUUCUGGACAGAGUGGGGUCAGUACCCACGGAUCGAGAGGUCUCGCCUGGACGGGUCUCAGAGAGCUGUUCUGGUCAACGUCAGCAUCAGCUGGCCUAAUGGCAUCUCCAUAGACUACCAGGAGGGUUUUCUGUACUGGUGUGAUGCUCGUACAGACAAUAUAGAGCGUAUCAACCUGGAGACCGGAGAGAACAGACAGGUGGUGCUGGCAAACAACAACAUGGACAUGUUCUCUGUCUCCGUGUUUGAAAGCUUCAUCUACUGGAGUGACAGGACUCAUGCCAAUGGCUCCAUAAAGCGAGGCAACAAAGACAACGCUACGGACUCUAUGCCCCUGCGCACUGGCAUCGGAGUACAGCUCAAAGACAUCAAAGUGUUCAGCAGGGCCAGGCAGCAAGGUGGGCAGGAGCCUUGUACU